CAUUUUUUGCCCCUUUUUCAAAAAUGAAAAAAUUGGCUAAAAAUGGACGAAAAGUUACGGCUAUAGCCUUAACUUCUCGUCCAUUUUAUUCACUUUUUAAUUUUUGAAAAAGGGGCAAAAAAAU
This 124-nucleotide microRNA precursor is filed under the name Paramuricea clavata. Lineage: Eukaryota; Metazoa; Cnidaria; Anthozoa; Malacalcyonacea; Plexauridae. The record is from RNAcentral.